Long non-coding RNA from Cavia porcellus (domestic guinea pig), 556 nucleotides. RefSeq lists it as uncharacterized. The transcript has 3 exons. Lineage: Eukaryota; Metazoa; Chordata; Mammalia; Rodentia; Caviidae. The record is from RefSeq and is a predicted model, not a curated record.
CGCUGGUCUCUGCACGGUCAGCCGGUCAGGCUGCGGAGCUUCGCGUGGACGCGGCCUCUGCAGAGAACUUCGUUCGCACGGACGUGGACAGCUUGUUGACUGUUAAUUCUAGUGACACAUUUUCUUAAGCUGCAGGCUGAUAGCACAUUUUCCGUGAAUGUUGGUUUUGGAGGACUCAAGCUGCAUCUCCUCGACUAUUUCACUUCCAGAAGAUAAUCGGAAUUUCUGAGUUCCAAUUUAAAAAUCCUACGAAAAUUUGGUUGGGAUUGCUUUAAACUUAUAAAUCAAUUUUAUUGUCCUGGAUGACAAUAGAAUAGAAACAGCUCAGCCUGGCACAGUGACCCACACCCAUAAUCCCAGCUCUCUGGGAGGUCAAAGGAGGAGGAUGGUUCUCACAUUGUGGUUCAGGCUGGCCUUGAACUCACUGUGUAGCCCAGGCUGGCCUCAGACUCACAAUGACCCUCCUACCUCAGCCUCCAGAGUGCUAGGAUCACAGGUGUGCACCACCACACCUGGCUAUUGUGACAGUCCUGACUCCUAUUGAAAUAAAGUCUUC